This 253-nucleotide ribosomal RNA is filed under the name uncultured Bacteroidales bacterium. Its description in RNAcentral is "partial 16S ribosomal RNA". It matches the Rfam family "Bacterial small subunit ribosomal RNA", at positions 524 to 776 of the family's 1533-position model. The record is from RNAcentral. Lineage: Bacteria; Pseudomonadati; Bacteroidota; Bacteroidia; Bacteroidales.
UACGGAGGAUGCGAGCGUUAUCCGGAUUUAUUGGGUUUAAAGGGUGCGUAGGUUGUUUUUUAAGUCAGCGGUGAAAGUUUGUGGCUCAACCAUAAAAUUGCCGUUGAAACUGAUGAUCUUGAGUGGGCGAGAAGUAUGCGGAAUGCGUGGUGUAGCGGUGAAAUGCAAAGAUAUCACGCAGAACUCCGAUUGCGAAGGCAGCAUACCGGCGCCCGACUGACGCUGAAGCACGAAAGCGUGGGUAUCGAACAGG